UUGAUCAGUAUUAGAGAGAAUAGAGAUCAAAACUUGAAUCAUUAUAAGUUAAACGUUUUUAGUCUAUUACAAUUUUGACUCUCUAUCGCCGAAGGUGCAAGUGAAAUAACGAAACUCUCAGGCAAAAGGAUAAUACUGUAACG
RNAcentral lists this non-coding RNA (143 nucleotides) under Staphylococcus epidermidis. Its description in RNAcentral is "Glycine sequence". It matches the Rfam family "Glycine riboswitch aptamer". Rfam says of the family: This family represents the bacterial glycine riboswitch. Glycine riboswitches usually consist of two metabolite-binding aptamers domains with similar structures in tandem. The record is from RNAcentral. RNAcentral also lists the same sequence under 1 other name. Lineage: Bacteria; Bacillati; Bacillota; Bacilli; Caryophanales; Staphylococcaceae.